RNAcentral lists this ribosomal RNA (920 nucleotides) under Agaricus arvensis. RNAcentral describes it as "LSU rRNA". It matches the Rfam family "Eukaryotic large subunit ribosomal RNA", at positions 44 to 951 of the family's 3401-position model. The record is from RNAcentral. Lineage: Eukaryota; Fungi; Basidiomycota; Agaricomycetes; Agaricales; Agaricaceae.
UCAUAAGCGGAGGAAAAGAAACUAACAAGGAUUCCCCUAGUAACUGCGAGUGAAGCGGGAAAAGCUCAAAUUUAAAAUCUGGCGGUCUCUGGCCGUCCGAGUUGUAAUCUAGAGAAGUAAUGCCCGUGCUGGACCGUGUAUAAGUCUCCUGGGAUGGGGCGUCAUAGAGGGUGAGAAUCCCGUCUUUGACACGGACUACCAGUGCAUUGUGGUAUGCUCUCAAAGAGUCGAGUUGUUUGGGAAUGCAGCUCAAAAUGGGUGGUAAAUUCCAUCUAAAGCUAAAUAUUGGCGAGAGACCGAUAGCGAACAAGUACCGUGAGGGAAAGAUGAAAAGAACUUUGGAAAGAGAGUUAAACAGUACGUGAAAUUGCUGAAAGGGAAACGCUUGAAGUCAGUCGCGUUGGCCGGGGAUCAGCCUUGCUUUUGCAUGGUGUACUUUCUGGUUGACGGGUCAGCAUCAAUUUUGACCGCUGGAAAAAGACCUGGGGAAUGUGGCAGCUUCGGCUGUGUUAUAGCCCCUAGUCGCAUACAGUGGUUGGGAUUGAGGAACUCAGCACGCCGCAAGGCCGGGUUUCGACCACGUUCGUGCUUAGGAUGCUGGCAUAAUGGCUUUAAGCGACCCGUCUUGAAACACGGACCAAGGAGUCUAACAUGCCUGCGAGUAUUUGGGUGGAAAACCCAAGUGCGUAAUGAAAGUGAAAGUUGAGAUCCCUGUCGUGGGGAGCAUCGACGCCCGGACCAGAACUUUUGGGACGGAUCCGCGGUGGAGCAUGUAUGUUGGGACCCGAAAGAUGGUGAACUAUGCCUGAAUAGGGUGAAGCCAGAGGAAACUCUGGUGGAGGCUCGUAGCGAUUCUGACGUGCAAAUCGAUCGUCAAAUUUGGGUAUAGGGGCGAAAGACUAAUCGAACCAUCUAGUAGC